This 253-nucleotide ribosomal RNA is filed under the name Faecalibacterium prausnitzii. RNAcentral's name for it is "partial 16S ribosomal RNA". It matches the Rfam family "Bacterial small subunit ribosomal RNA", at positions 524 to 776 of the family's 1533-position model. Lineage: Bacteria; Bacillati; Bacillota; Clostridia; Eubacteriales; Oscillospiraceae. The record is from RNAcentral.
UACGUAGGGAGCGAGCGUUGUCCGGAAUGACUGGGUGUAAAGGGAGCGUAGACGGCUUAGCAAGUCUGAAGUGAAAGCCCGGGGCUCAACCCAUAAACUGCUUUCAAAACUGUUUUUCUUGAGUAGUGCAGAGGUAGGCGGAAUUCCCGGUGUAGCGGUGGAAUGCGUAGAUAUCGGGAGGAACACCAGUGGCGAAGGCGGCCUACUGGGCACCAACUGACGCUGAGGCUCGAAAGUGUGGGUAGCAAACAGG